Long non-coding RNA from Drosophila biarmipes, 1583 nucleotides. RefSeq lists it as uncharacterized. NCBI's taxonomy places the organism in Eukaryota, Metazoa, Arthropoda, Insecta, Diptera, Drosophilidae. The transcript has 3 exons. The record is from RefSeq and is a predicted model, not a curated record.
AUAUCUGGAACUCUCUAAGAAUGUUGGAUCUGCCAGGGGAAUAGCAGGUAAAUCAAAAAGCGCAUCUCGUGGAAUUGGUUUGUUCGCGCAUCCCCAGACAUCUGGGUUUCAUAUCCUCAAUCACCUCUAGCGUUCGAUAUCGGUCGCUAAGAAACGUGUAUUUUAUCCCAAGUCGGAAUGAGACAGCGCUAUCAAACACCUUUGGAUUGUGCUCUGUAGGUCUUUCAGAGCCUGGCCAGAUUAAGAACUUACGAAACCCAAAUUAAACAGGAGUGUGAGUUGGCUUUUUACUAGCAGUCUCGACAUUACGGACUUAGUCUGGAUUUGUGGCCUUACUUUUGCCGUGAGCAGACUCAGAGACGGUCGUUUCUGAUUGCUCGUAGAAACAGACGUCUCCUUGAUCGCGUUUUAAUUGCAGGCGGAAAAAUUGUAUGGAAUAAAUAUAGUUUAAUUUUAAAAACCAAACAAAAAUUUUAUAGUGGCUACACCGUUUUCCCGUUACGACAAUUGCAAGCGGUCCGGUCAGGCUAUUAGCGUUGCAGCUCCGGUCUAAUUUUGGAAUAUGUGGAAACGGAACUGUCGCACAUCAACUACUUGAUGUGUGCAAGUAUGGAUAUGUGUGUUUGUGGGAACUUGGAAAAAUAUGGUGUACCGCGAAAGAAGGUACGUGGGCUACCACGAUUACUUUGCCUUACGUUACGCUACGUGACUUUCCCUUAUGUACGUAUGUUCAGAUGGCCGGGCAUAUGUACAUAUGUACAUAAGCAUAUGUAUGGAGAUGGCAAAUACGAAAAACAAGCCGGAAUAUGACGAUCGAAUGCACAAUGGCCGAUCAAACAGAUAUAAGAAUAUUGCGUUCUUGGGAAAUAUCUAAUUGGUCGGCCAUGGAAAUAUGGAACAUUCGUACUUAUCUUGGAAGAAGAAGAACUUGUAAAACCGCUGCUGAACGCUGAAACUUGUAAACCUUGCAACUGCUGGAAAUAUCCGGUCGAUAGGUCGUGGACCUGGAGGGUGGCAGCUUUCCUGGGCUCUGGUUGUCGUCUGGUUCCCGUAUCGAAAUUAGAAGUCACUUUUUAAACGUUUAAAGAAAACUAAUAUAUUCCCUGUAAAGAAUUAUUUAGUUAGAUUAUAGAUUCAUAACCUUUACUACUCAAAUGGCAAGCAAUUUGGUUGAUCAAUGCACGACACGAGUGUAGUGCUGUUCCUCGACGAUGCACGCACUGUGUGUGAUAUAAGCCACGAUAAUUGAGUUGACUCUUUAGAAUAAGCAGAGUCGAUCUGAUCGGUCCAAUCCGAUUGUCGCUUGCAGUACAUGGCUGGGCAGCUCUUAAAGAUGUGAACAAAUUAAUCGGAAAGAUCAACAAAGAAAAAUUUAAUUAUCAAUCACAGGUGACAUCGCUAAUAAUUUACUCACAUCGAGUCGGAAAGCAGCGAUCAUAUUAAAAACACUACAAAUCACUAUAAACUAGAAAUACUAUAUUCUAUAAAAUACUGGAAUAAUAGUGCUUUAAAAUACCUGUUGGACGAACACUAAUAAAGUCUAAGAUUUUUUGGACUCCGUUCACGACAUAUGUCGCAAUGUA